This 468-nucleotide ribosomal RNA is filed under the name uncultured bacterium. RNAcentral describes it as "partial 16S ribosomal RNA". It matches the Rfam family "Bacterial small subunit ribosomal RNA", at positions 28 to 507 of the family's 1533-position model. The record is from RNAcentral.
GACGAACGCUGGCGGCGUGCUUAACACAUGCAAGUCGAACGGAAAGGCCUUGCUCUUGUGGGGUGCUCGAGUGGAGAACGGGUGAGUCUCACGUGAGUAACCUGCCAUCGGCUUUGGGCUACUUCUAGGAAACCGGGGCUUAUACCGGAAAGGGGCUACUGCUGCCUGGUGGGGGCUGGAAAGUUUCGGCGGAGGGGGAUGGACUCGCGGCUUCUCAGCCGGUUGGUGGGGUCGUGUCCUACCAAGGCUUUGACGGGUAUCCGGCCGGACGGGGUGACAGGCCGCAAUGGGACGGAGAAGCGGCGGAGACUCCUACGGGGGGCAGCAGUGGUGAAGAUUUCACAGUGGGCGGAAGCCGGAUGCAGCAGCGCCGCGGGCGGGAUGACGGCCUUCGGGUUGUAGUCCGCUUUCGCCUGUGGCGAAGCGUGAAUGACGGUAAUGGGUAAAUAAGCACCGGCUAACUACGUG